RNAcentral lists this long non-coding RNA (1421 nucleotides) under Vulpes vulpes (red fox). RNAcentral's name for it is "lncRNA (ENSVVUG00000017645.1)". Lineage: Eukaryota; Metazoa; Chordata; Mammalia; Carnivora; Canidae. The record is from RNAcentral.
CUAUGCACCAGGAAAUGGGUCCUCACCAGACAUUGAAUUGAUUAGUGUCUUGAUCUUAGACUUGCCAGCCUCCAGAACUGUGAGAAGCAUCCAUUGUUUAAGCCACCCAGUCUAUGAUAUUUUUGUGGUAACAGACUCAACUAAUCAAGGCAUCUCUCAAUAUCGAUGAAGUUUACCAUUGUACAUCAAUAAAGAAAAGAAAAAAAUAAUAGGGAAUUUUAAAAGUAAAGUCAUCUUAGAAACUAUGUCGUCCAACUGAAUCAUUUAUACAGAUGUCCUCACCUGAGUUUCAUUCAUCCUCACUUACUUCACAUCCUGAUCCUCAAGUCUGACUUUUGCCAAAAAUCAGAAUGGACCCUGCUUCCUGCUUCCAAAGAUGUUCAUCAACAAAAAUCAUCAAUACCCAAAAAAAAAUCAUCAAUACCCCAUUUAUUUAGCAUUUCCUGUGCACUUGGUAGUGUGGUGAACACUUUAAAAAUAAGUGAGUUAAACCUCCCAAGAAGUCUAUGAAGUAGAUAUCACUGUUCACAUCUGCCCCUUGGCCUUUCCCUUGCAUUGAAACAAGACUUUUAUCUUGGUGCUCACAAUUUAGUGAUAGAGUUUGAGAAGUAAGCAGCCAAGAACAGCACAGAUAGUACAAAGUAUUGACCUUGAUCUCACAUCUUAAUGAUUUAAUGGGACAAAAAUUUAUGCCAUUAUUUAAAUUUAAUUCACUGAAGUUAUGUAGUGCUUAAUAAUUUCUCAGAUGGUGUUGCCUAUAUAAUCUUCCCCAAUCUUCACAGUAACAUUGAGAAGUAAAUAUUGUUAUGACCCCAUUUUCACAGACCAGGGAAGGAGACUCAUAGAUGUUAAGCAACCUACACAAAAACCUAUUAGCAAAUGGCAACUGUAAGAGGUGUCUUACAGGUGAAGGUGGUGUCCCUUCAGAUCCAUGCACUUUGAAUAAUAUAGUGACUCUAUAUAACUAUAUAUACUAACUGUAUAGAUAGUUACCUAUGUAACUAGAUUAACACACACACAUGGUAGCAUGUGUUGUAGUGGUCAAGGCCAAGACGAGCCACUUUGGCAUGAACACUAUUUUGAGCUGAAGGCAAUCAGGAUCCUGCAGGCUCAAGAAAAACUUUUGCCCCUCCCUUAACUACUUAGUAGAAUCUAAAUUGGGCAUCUUUCUCAGAAUAAGAGUUAUUGGCAAAGAUAAUUUUUAUGUAAGUGACCCAUUUGUAUGGCAAGGUAACAUCCAAUUACUGAACAUAUGCUUUUCUUAUUGCCCUGUAAAUUGCAUUCAUUUCCUCUAAAUUGCCUGACCCCACCCUCUUUUCCUUAAUUCAGGAUGAUGUAUAUACCUCAUUUUGCCUAACUAGCUUUGGAAUUUUCAUGUCUUUGUGGAUUCCCCAUGCAUAUGCUAUUAAAUUUGAUUUUCU